This 250-nucleotide ribosomal RNA is filed under the name uncultured bacterium. RNAcentral's name for it is "partial 16S ribosomal RNA". It matches the Rfam family "Bacterial small subunit ribosomal RNA", at positions 524 to 773 of the family's 1533-position model. The record is from RNAcentral.
UACAGAGGGUGCAAGCGUUGUUCGGAAUUAUUGGGCGUAAAGCGCGUGUAGGCGGCAUGGCAAGUCGGGUGUGAAAGCCCUCAGCUUAACUGAGGAAGUGCGCCCGAAACUGCUGUGCUUGAGUGCCGGAGAGGAUGGCGGAAUUCCCCAAGUAGAGGUGAAAUUCGUAGAUAUGGGGAGGAACACCGGUGGCGUAGGCGGCCAUCUGGACGGUAACUGACGCUGAGACGCGAAAGCGUGGGUAGCAAAC